RNAcentral lists this ribosomal RNA (253 nucleotides) under uncultured bacterium. RNAcentral describes it as "partial 16S ribosomal RNA". It matches the Rfam family "Bacterial small subunit ribosomal RNA", at positions 524 to 776 of the family's 1533-position model. The record is from RNAcentral.
UACGUAGGGUGCGAGCGUUAAUCGGAAUUACUGGGCGUAAAGCGUGCGUAGGCGGUUCGCUGUGUCCGAUGUGAAAGCCCCGGGCUUAACCUGGGAAUGGCAUUGGAAACUGGCGGGCUUGAGUGCGGCAGAGGGGGGUGGAAUUCCGCGUGUAGCAGUGAAAUGCGUAGAUCUACGAAGGAACGCCAAAAGCGAAGGCAGCUCUCUGGGUCCCUACCGACGCUGGGGUGCGAAAGCAUGGGGAGCGAACAGG